GUGUUGAUAUGUGUCUGUGUGUUUGUAUGUUUGUGUGUACAUGUGUGUCAAAGAAAUGCGGGCUGCGCACGGGUGGGGUGCGCUGGCGGGCGCCCAGGAUCGCGUGACGGUGCUAUGCCGCCCAGCCACCUCGGCCGCCCAACCAACGCUAGCCCCACCCAAUGCUAGUGCCCCGCCCAUCUCACAAUUCACGGUGCCUAACGUAUCUUUUACGGUGAUGAUCCUUCCGCAGGUUCACCUACGGAAA
This 247-nucleotide unclassified non-coding RNA is filed under the name uncultured fungus. Its description in RNAcentral is "sequence contains ITS1". Lineage: Eukaryota; Fungi. The record is from RNAcentral.